RNAcentral lists this ribosomal RNA (460 nucleotides) under uncultured bacterium. Its description in RNAcentral is "partial 16S ribosomal RNA". It matches the Rfam family "Bacterial small subunit ribosomal RNA", at positions 338 to 795 of the family's 1533-position model. The record is from RNAcentral.
CCUACGGGUGGCAGCAGUGAGGAAUAUUGGUCAAUGGACGAGAGUCUGAACCAGCCAAGUAGCGUGAAGGAUUACUGCCCUAUGGGUUGUAAACUUCUUUUAUAUGGGAAUAAAAUGUUCCACGUGUGGGAUUUUGUAUGUACCAUAUGAAUAAGGAUCGGCUAACUCCGUGCCAGCAGCCGCGGUAAUACGGAGGAUCCGAGCGUUAUCCGGAUUUAUUGGGUUUAAAGGGAGCGUAGGUGGAUUGUUAAGUCAGUUGUGAAAGUUUGCGGCUCAACCGUAAAAUUGCAGUUGAAACUGGCAGUCUUGAGUACAGUAGAGGUGGGCGGAAUUCGUGGUGUAGCGGUGAAAUGCUUAGAUAUCACGAAGAACUCCGAUUGCGAAGGCAGUUCACUGGACUGCAACUGACACUGAGGCUCGAAAGUGUGGGUAUCAAACAGGAUUAGAUACCCGAGUAGUC